Molecule: long non-coding RNA, 970 nt
Organism: Caretta caretta (loggerhead turtle)
Lineage: Eukaryota; Metazoa; Chordata; Testudines; Cheloniidae
Source: RefSeq, a predicted model, not a curated record
CCCGGGUCGACAUUCGCUGUUCAUGCUUCUAGACUCCCCCGUGCUCUCGUCCUGGCAGGCGCUCUACGUGCAGGUGCCGGAACCAAGGCCUCUGCAGGCCUUGCUCUCGCUCUACAGGUUAGCCAUAGGCAUGCACCCACCCGGGAGUCCUCCCAGCAUCCCUCUGGAGUGCCCAGGCCCUGUGCCCUGCUACUCCCCGGGAAUACGAGCUUCAACUCCAGAUCCCCACGCUCUGCGUAGUGCACGGCACUUGGAAGCGUAUGUGGUGAAAGGAAGAAUUAAGGUUGUCAUCGCAGAAUGGAGAUUCCAAAGAUAGAGAAACCAGCACGAUCUCGGCCUUCGCUUGCACAAUCAGAGCUCUGUGUCCGAUCCCUGGGCUUGGACGGCUUUUGUGUUACUCUGGCCAAGUUUAAUUCCACACCGCCACCCGCCCCCAGGUGACAGUCAGGCUUGGGGCAGGAGCAGCGCUCUUGGCAUUGCGGAUCUGCUCCCUGGGAAAGAUGGGGCGACCAUAUCUGCACGCAGUGUUCAAGAUGUGGACAUACCAUAGAUUUAUAUAGAGGCAAUAUGAUAUUUUUUGUCGUCUUAUCUAUCCCUUUCUUAAUGAUUCACAACAUUGUUUGUUUUUUUGGCUGCUGCUGCACAUUGAGUGGAUGUUUUCAGAGAACUAUCCACAGUGACUCCACGAUCUCUUUCGUGAGUGGUAACAGCUAAUUUAGACCCCAUCAUUUCAUAUGUAUAGUCGGGAUUAUGUUUUCCAAUGUGCAUUACUUUGCUUUUAUUAACAUUGGAUUUCAUCAGCCAUUUUAUUCCCAGUAACCCAGUUUUGUGAGAUCCUUUUGUAGCUCUUUGCAGUGUGCUUGGGACUUGACUUAGAUUCUAGCUAUUGCGGUUGUAAACAUAACCUUGAAAAUGUGAACAGGGUGUAUGCUGACGCUGUGAUGUCUGCUUGAGUUUGCACACAGCCUGA